Molecule: long non-coding RNA, 207 nt
Filed under: Lathyrus oleraceus (garden pea)
Lineage: Eukaryota; Viridiplantae; Streptophyta; Magnoliopsida; Fabales; Fabaceae
Description: Pisum sativum (pea) long non-coding RNA (PSAT_LNC006555)
Source: RNAcentral
UUUCAUUGUCACCAUCAAAGUUGAACUCAAAGUUGAUAGAACAUAGUAAGAGGUACCCUAUAAAUUUUAGGGAAUUUCUUAUCCCACCCUAUGAGGUGGAAAAACACCAUAUAAAAAACCAAAACUUCCCCUCAGAUUCCGGAGAUGCAUCUCUGAACGCACCUUGUCUUAAAUCAAAACGUUAACUAAUCUGGAGAUGCAUCUCCG